UACCGGCAGCUCGAGUGAUGGCCGAUUUUAUGGGGCCUAAAGCGUCCGUAGCUGGCCCUGCAAGUCCGUCGGGAAACCCACUCGCCUAACGAGUGGGCGUCCGGCGGAAACUACAGGGUUGGGGACCGGAAGACUUGAGGGGUACGUCUGGGGUGGGAUGGAAAUCCUGUAAUCCUGGACGGACCGCCGAUGGCGAAAGCACCUCAAGACGACGGAUCCGACAGUGAGGGACGAAAGCUAGGGUCUCGAACCGG
This 254-nucleotide ribosomal RNA is filed under the name uncultured archaeon. Its description in RNAcentral is "partial 16S ribosomal RNA". It matches the Rfam family "Archaeal small subunit ribosomal RNA", at positions 474 to 727 of the family's 1478-position model. The record is from RNAcentral.